This is a non-coding RNA of Tyto alba (common barn owl), 528 nucleotides long. The record is from the annotation of a RefSeq genome assembly. NCBI's taxonomy places the organism in Eukaryota, Metazoa, Chordata, Aves, Strigiformes, Tytonidae.
AUGCUGCACAACCACCAGAAGUUGUCCCGGGAUCCCAAUGUUACCAGCCAGCCAAUCCUUUUUCACAUUUCACGUCCUGUCCAACCCUCAUCCUCACCGAGUGCUUCCUCUUCACAUAUCUCUGGCCAGCUACAAAAAGCAGUUCCUGAAAGGACAGGGCCUUUUUCCCCAUUGGUUCCCUACUGGUUCUUUGUGGCCAUGCUGGCCCCUAUGGCGUUGGCUCUGGAACAGUCCCCAGACACAGUGAUACGACAAGGCCAGUCCAUGAAUCUGAGCUGUUCCAAGAAGAAAUCCUCCAGCACAGCUAUGUACUGGUACAAACUGCCUUUGGGGAAGGACUCCGGGCUGAGGCUAGUGUCUUAUGCAAUACAAGGUGGUGAAGUAACCAUUGAGGAGGAUCUCCGAAACCAUAUUAAGAGCAGUGAGAUACAAGGCGACGGGAUGACCCUCUUCAUAGAGCAUGCCUUUCUCAAUGACUCUGGCAUGUACUAUUGUGCUGAGAGUGAAACACAGUGGCUAGGCUGCUGA